This 509-nucleotide ribosomal RNA is filed under the name uncultured bacterium. Its description in RNAcentral is "bacterial SSU rRNA". It matches the Rfam family "Bacterial small subunit ribosomal RNA", at positions 9 to 502 of the family's 1533-position model. The record is from RNAcentral.
GAGUUUGAACCUGGCUCAGGAUGAACGCUGGCGGCGUGCCUAACACAUGCAAGUCGAACGAAGCAUCCCUUCCGAUGAAUGGACCAGCUUGCUGGGAAAGGAAUCAAUUGGGAUGACUGAGUGGCGGACGGGUGAGUAACGCGUGGGUAACCUGCCCCAUAGAGGGGGACAACAGCUGGAAACGGCUGCUAAUACCGCAUAGCAGGGAAGAGACGCAUGUCUUUUCCUUCAAAGAUUUAUCGCUAUGGGAUGGACCCGCGUCUGAUUAGCUAGUUGGCAGGGUAACGGCCUACCAAGGCGACGAUCAGUAGCCGGCUUGAGAGAGUGGACGGCCACAUUGGGACUGAGACACGGCCCAGACUCCUACGGGAGGCAGCAGUGGGGAAUAUUGCACAAUGGGGGAAACCCUGAUGCAGCGACGCCGCGUGAGUGAAGAAGUAUUUCGGUAUGUAAAGCUCUAUCAGCAGGGAAGAUAAUGACGGUACCUGACUAAGAAGCCCCGGCUAACU